RNAcentral lists this ribosomal RNA (467 nucleotides) under uncultured bacterium. RNAcentral describes it as "partial 16S ribosomal RNA". It matches the Rfam family "Bacterial small subunit ribosomal RNA", at positions 28 to 506 of the family's 1533-position model. The record is from RNAcentral.
GACGAACGCUGGCGGCGUGCUUAACACAUGCAAGUCGAACGGAAAGGCCCUGCUUUUGUGGGGUGCUCGAGUGGCGAACGGGUGAGUAACACGUGAGUAACCUGCCCUUGACUUUGGGAUAACUUCAGGAAACUGGGGCUAAUACCGGAUAGGAGCUCCUGCUGCAUGGUGGGGGUUGGAAAGUUUCGGCGGUUGGGGAUGGACUCGCGGCUUAUCAGCUUGUUGGUGGGGUAGUGGCUUACCAAGGCUUUGACGGGUAGCCGGCCUGAGAGGGUGACCCGCCACAUUGGGACUGAGAUACGGCCCAGACUCCUACGGGAGGCAGCAGUGGGGAAUAUUGCACAAUGGGCGGAAGCCUGAUGCAGCAACGCCGCGUGCGGGAUGACGGCCUUCGGGUUGUAAACCGCUUUCGCCUGUGACGAAGCGUGAGUGACGGUAAUGGGUAAAGAAACACCGGCUAACUACGU